GAAUGCCACCCAUCCUGAAACUAC
Molecule: non-coding RNA, 24 nt
Filed under: Arabidopsis thaliana (thale cress)
Lineage: Eukaryota; Viridiplantae; Streptophyta; Magnoliopsida; Brassicales; Brassicaceae
Source: RNAcentral